CAAUAGCGGAUAUUAAAGUUGUUGCAGUUAAAAAGCUCGUAGUUGGAUUUCUGGUUGAAGCGACCGGUCGGGCGUUGAUUCGUCUGCACUGGAGUCGGUUUUGGCCAUCCUCUAGGAAAGUGCGUCUGGUAUUAAGUUAUCGGGCGUAUGAUCCUGGUCUUUUACUGUGAAAAAAUUAGAGUGUUUAAAGCAGGCCUUCGCCUUGAAUACAUUAGCAUGGAAUAAUAAGAUAGGACUUUGGUCUAUUUUGUUGGUUUGCAGACCGAAGUAAUGAUUAAUAGGGAUAGUUGGGGGUAUUUAUAUUCCGAUGUCAGAGGUGAAAUUCUUAGAUUUUCGGAAGAUAAACUUAUGCGAAAGCAUUUACCAAGGAUGUUUNCAUUAA
RNAcentral lists this ribosomal RNA (382 nucleotides) under uncultured eukaryote. Its description in RNAcentral is "partial 18S ribosomal RNA". It matches the Rfam family "Eukaryotic small subunit ribosomal RNA", at positions 592 to 976 of the family's 1831-position model. The record is from RNAcentral.